Molecule: long non-coding RNA, 289 nt
Organism: Zingiber officinale
Lineage: Eukaryota; Viridiplantae; Streptophyta; Magnoliopsida; Zingiberales; Zingiberaceae
Exons: 3
Source: RefSeq, a predicted model, not a curated record
GACUGGUGGAAGAUUUCUUAAACUUAGAAUGAAAUUUUCUUAAACUUGUUAGAUCCGAUGGAAGGAUCUCCGGUAGGCUCAGUGGAAGGAAUUUGAUCACAAAUGCCGUUGCAACGAAGGCCGAUACUCCUACAAGUUCCACCGACUCUAAACCUGGGUUGCUCCAUUGGCCGUCUCAGAUGCGGCUAUGCAUGCCCGUGAGGAGAUUUUUCAUGGAAAAGGAAACAUCAAAGAAGAGGCAGAGUUAACAAAAGAAGAGAGGAAAAGGAGACGGGCCAACCAGAAAAGA